AAAGAACCUAAAUAUCUGCUGGGAGUGCAUACAAUUAAUCAAUUUUCUCUUUUGUGUUGUUUUUCACACAGAGCGAUGAGGCAAGAGAGAAGUUUUUAAAAAUAGAAAAAUGUGAUUGCAUAAACGUCGUUGUUGACAGGAGGACUCAGUGGAUUCAGAUAUAACUGUAGGUGCUGCCUGUAUGAAAGAGCUGAGCCACACCAUCCACUAAACUGUCUAGAGCAGCAGUUGGCUUGCUUGGAAGUUGCUUCCAGGACUGUAUUGUAAAGCUUCAGGGAAAAGUACGGACUUUUUCAGUGGGA
RNAcentral lists this long non-coding RNA (302 nucleotides) under Manacus vitellinus (golden-collared manakin). RNAcentral's name for it is "lncRNA (ENSMVIG00005002055.1)". The record is from RNAcentral. Lineage: Eukaryota; Metazoa; Chordata; Aves; Passeriformes; Pipridae.